Molecule: ribosomal RNA, 251 nt
Filed under: uncultured bacterium
Lineage: Bacteria
Description: partial 16S ribosomal RNA
Rfam family: Bacterial small subunit ribosomal RNA
Source: RNAcentral
UACGAAGGGGGCUAGCGUUGUUCGGAAUUACUGAGCGUAAAGGGCGCGUAGGCGGAUACUUAAGUCGGGGGUGAAAGCCCGGGGCUCAACCUCGGAAUUGCCUUCGAUACUGGGUAUCUUGAGUUCGGGAGAGGUGAGUGGAAUGCCGAGUGUAGAGGUGAAAUUCGUAGAUAUUCGCAAGAACACCAGUGGCGAAGGCGGCUGACUGGUCCGGUUCUGACGCUGAGGCGCGAAGCGUGGGAGCAAACAGG